GUCCAGAUAGCUUAGUGGUUAGAGCACCCGUCUGAAAAACGGGGGGUCGGUAGUUCGAAUCUACUUCUGGACA
Molecule: transfer RNA, 73 nt
Filed under: Clydonella sawyeri
Lineage: Eukaryota; Discosea; Flabellinia; Vannellidae
Description: tRNA-Phe
Rfam family: tRNA
About the family: Transfer RNA (tRNA) molecules are approximately 80 nucleotides in length. Their secondary structure includes four short double-helical elements and three loops (D, anti-codon, and T loops).
Source: RNAcentral